ACGAACGCUGGCGGCGUGGAUUAGGCAUGCAAGUCGAACGAGGAUAUAUCCUUCGGGAUAUAAGCCGAGUGGCGCAAGGGUGAGUAAUGCAUAGAUUACCUGCCUCCGGGAUAAGGACAACUUUGUGAAAACGAAGCUAAUACUUAAUAAUACAAAAGAAAAUAAUUUUCUUUUGUCAAUGGGAGGGUAGCAAUACCUUUUGCCUGGAGAGGGGUUUAUGUCCUAUCAGCUUGUUGGUGGGGUAAUGGCCUACCAAGGCGAAGACGGGUAGCCGGUCUUAGAGGAUGGUCGGCCACACUGGGACUGAGACACUGCCCAGACUUCUACGGAAGGCUGCAGUCGAGAAUCUUUCGCAAUGCCCGAAAGGGUGACGAAGCGACGCCGCGUGGGUGAGGAAGGCCUUCGGGUUGUAAAGCCCUGUCAGGAGUUAAGAAAUGUAAGUGUGCUAAUACCGCAUUUAUUUGACGAAGGCUCCAAAGGAAGCCACGGCUAACUCUGUGCCAGCAGCCGCGGUAAUACAGAGGUGGCAAGCGUUGUUCGGAAUUAUUGGGCGUAAAGAGCACGUAGGUGGGUUUGUAAGUCAGAUGUGAAAGCCUUCUGUUCAACGGAAGAAUUGCAUCUGAAACUGCGAGUCUUGAGUGUAGGAGGGGAGAAUGGAACUUCUGGUGGAGCGGUGAAAUGCGUAGAUAUCAGAAGGAACGCCGGCGGCGAAAGCGAUUCUCUGGCCUAUUACUGACACUCAGUGUGCGAAAGCUAGGGGAGCAAACGGGAUUAGAUACCCCGGUAGUCCUAGCCGUAAACGAUGGGCACUAAGUAGAGGGAAUUACCGAUGUUCUCUCUGCCGUAGCUAACGCAUUAAGUGCCCCGCCUGGGGAGUACGGCCGCAAGGCUAAAACUCAAAAGAAUUGACGGGGGCUCGCACAAGCGGUGGAGCAUGUGGUUUAAUUCGAUGCAACGCGAAGAACCUUACCUGGACUUGACAUGCACGGGACAGCCAUAGAAAUAUGGUUUCUCUUCGGAGCCCGUGUGCAGGUGCUGCAUGGCUGUCGUCAGCUCGUGUCGUGAGAUGUUGGGUUAAGUCCCGCAACGAGCGCAACCCCUACCUUUAGUUGCCAGCGGGUCAUGCCGGGAACUCUAAAGGGACUGUCGGUGAUAAACCGGAGGAAGGUGGGGAUGACGUCAAGUCCUCAUGGCCUUUAUGUCCAGGGCUACACACGUGCUACAAUGGCCGGUACAAAGAGUUGCAAUACCGCGAGGUGGAGCUAAUCUCAAAAAACCGGUCUCAGUUCGGAUUGGAGUCUGCAACUCGACUCCAUGAAGUUGGAAUCGCUAGUAAUCGUGGAUUAGCAUGCCACGGUGAAUACGUUCCCGGGACUUGUACACACCGC
This 1388-nucleotide ribosomal RNA is filed under the name uncultured prokaryote. Its description in RNAcentral is "partial 16S ribosomal RNA". It matches the Rfam family "Bacterial small subunit ribosomal RNA", at positions 29 to 1393 of the family's 1533-position model. The record is from RNAcentral.